CUCCAAUCAAAAGACAAAGAGUGUCAGAAUGGAUGAAAGCAAUGAUGUGACCCUACAUUACCCAUAAGAGACUCACAGAAGAGCCAGAGAUACCAUAGACAGAAAGUGUUUGGAUGGAAGAAGACACUGUGUGGUAAUGGCAACCAAAAGAGAGCAGGGUGACUAUGUAAAUUAGACUUUAAGUUUUAAAAGUUACCAAAGAAAAAGAUAGUUUACAUGAAUAAAGUCCAACACAGCAAAAGUACUCAACAGUUAUGAAUCAUUUGCAUACCUAAUGACAGACCAUCAGUAUAUACGAAGGAAAACCCAACAGGAUUGAAGGGAAAAAUAGACAGUUAUACAACAAGAGUUGGAAACUUUAAUAAUCAUUCUCUGCCAUGGAACAACAAAGCAGAAAAUAAACAGGAAAACCCAGCUGGAUCCAACAGCUGUUGUUGGGUAGAUUUCUAUAUACAACAGUGUACACACACUCUUCUCAAGUGCAGGUGGAAGGUUCUCGAGGGUAGACCAUGUGUUAGACCACAAAUUGUCUCAAUAGAUUUUCACAAAUACGUACAGUACAAAGUACCUUCUCCCAUGAUAACAGGAUCUAGUUAGAAACCAAUAACAGAAGUAGAACUGGGAAAAUCACAAAACUGUGGAAAUUAGACAAUAUGCAACUGAACAGCCAACAGAUCAAAGAAGAAAUUACAAGAGAAAUUAGAAAAUUUCAAAAUUUAU
This 720-nucleotide long non-coding RNA is filed under the name Marmota monax (woodchuck). The record is from RNAcentral. Lineage: Eukaryota; Metazoa; Chordata; Mammalia; Rodentia; Sciuridae.